AACGAACGCUGGCGGCAUGCCUAACACAUGCAAGUCGAACGAGACCUUCGGGUCUAGUGGCGCACGGGUGCGUAACGCGUUGGAACCUGCCCUUAGGUUCGGAAUAACUCCCCGAAAGGGGUGCUAAUACCGGAUAAUGUCUUCGGACCAAAGAUUUAUCGCCUUUGGAUGGGCACGCGUUGGAUUAGCUAGUUGGUAGGGUAAAAGCCUACCAAGGCGACGAUCCAUAGCUGGUCUGAGAGGAUGAUCAGCCACACUGGGACUGAGACACGGCCCAGACUCCUACGGGAGGCAGCAGUGGGGAAUAUUGGACAAUGGGCGAAAGCCUGAUCCAGCAAUGCCGCGUGAGUGAUGAAGGCCUUAGGGUUGUAAAGCGCUUUUACCCGGGAUGAUAAUGACAGUACCGGGAGAAUAAGCGCCGGCUAACUCCGUG
This 433-nucleotide ribosomal RNA is filed under the name uncultured bacterium. RNAcentral describes it as "partial 16S ribosomal RNA". It matches the Rfam family "Bacterial small subunit ribosomal RNA", at positions 29 to 507 of the family's 1533-position model. The record is from RNAcentral.